UACAGAGGGGGCAAGCGUUAUUCGGAAUUAUUGGGCGUAAAGGGCGCGUAGGCGGCUUUGCAAGUGACGGGUGAAAGCCCUCGGCUUAACCGAGGAACUGCCUGUCAGACUGUGAGGCUUGAGACCGGGAGAGGUGAGUGGAAUUCCCAGUGUAGCGGUGAAAUGCGUAGAUAUUGGGAGGAACACCAGUGGCGAAGGCGGCUCACUGGACCGGAACUGACGCUGAGGCGCGAAAGCGUGGGAGCAAACAGG
Molecule: ribosomal RNA, 252 nt
Filed under: uncultured bacterium
Lineage: Bacteria
Description: partial 16S ribosomal RNA
Rfam family: Bacterial small subunit ribosomal RNA
Source: RNAcentral